This 466-nucleotide ribosomal RNA is filed under the name Rhodoferax sp. Its description in RNAcentral is "bacterial SSU rRNA". It matches the Rfam family "Bacterial small subunit ribosomal RNA", at positions 393 to 852 of the family's 1533-position model. Lineage: Bacteria; Pseudomonadati; Pseudomonadota; Betaproteobacteria; Burkholderiales; Comamonadaceae. The record is from RNAcentral.
AAUGCCGCGUGCAGGAUGAAGGCCUUCGGGUUGUAAACUGCUUUUGUACGGAACGAAACGGUGAGCUCUAAUAAAGUUUGCUAAUGACGGUACCGUAAGAAUAAGCACCGGCUAACUACGUGCCAGCAGCCGCGGUAAUACGUAGGGUGCGAGCGUUAAUCGGAAUUACUGGGCGUAAAGCGUGCGCAGGCGGUUAUAUAAGACAGAUGUGAAAUCCCCGGGCUCAACCUGGGACCUGCAUUUGUGACUGUAUAGCUAGAGUACGGUAGAGGGGGAUGGAAUUCCGCGUGUAGCAGUGAAAUGCGUAGAUAUGCGGAGGAACACCGAUGGCGAAGGCAAUCCCCUGGACCUGUACUGACGCUCAUGCACGAAAGCGUGGGGAGCAAACAGGAUUAGAUACCCUGGUAGUCCACGCCCUAAACGAUGUCAACUGGUUGUUGGGUCUUCACUGACUCAGUAACGAAGC